GUGCAGCAGGCGCGAAACCUUCGCAAUAUGCGCAAGCAUGACGAGGCUACUCCGAGUGCCACCCGCAGAGGGUGGCUUUUCCCAAGUCUACAACGCUUGGGGAAUAAGGGGAGGGCAAGUCUGGUGUCAGCCGCCGCGGUAAUACCAGCUCCUCGAGUGGUCGGGGCGUUUAUUGGGCCUAAAGCAUCCGUAGCCGGCUCUGCAGGUCCUCUGUCAAAUUCAACGGCUCAACCGUUGAACCGCAGGGGAUACCACAGGGCUAGGAGGCGGGAGAGGCGGACGGUACUCCGUGGGUAGGGGUAAAAUCCUCUGAUCCACGGAAGACCACCAGUGGCGAAGGCGGUCCGCCAGAACGCGCUCGACGGUGAGGGAUGAAAGCUGGGGGAGCGAACGGGAUUAGAUAUGAAGUUGAGUUUUUACCAGCUUCACUAGAUACCCGGGUAGUCC
This 447-nucleotide ribosomal RNA is filed under the name uncultured archaeon. Its description in RNAcentral is "partial 16S ribosomal RNA". It matches the Rfam family "Archaeal small subunit ribosomal RNA", at positions 330 to 747 of the family's 1478-position model. The record is from RNAcentral.